Syngnathoides biaculeatus (alligator pipefish) is the source of this 4339-nucleotide long non-coding RNA. RefSeq lists it as uncharacterized. The record is from RefSeq and is a predicted model, not a curated record. Lineage: Eukaryota; Metazoa; Chordata; Actinopteri; Syngnathiformes; Syngnathidae. The transcript is spliced from 22 exons.
UUAGACUGUAGUCUAAUGUAAGACAAAAUGAUAAAAACAUUCAUUCUACAUUGGUGCCUAAUUAGUACAGUGUACAGUUUUGCUAAUUUAGCAGCAACAUACGUACGACAGAACCUGUUUGAUGUAAAAUUCGGUCGGGCUCAGAUAAAGUUGAUGGGUGCUGUCCUGGGUAUCGAACCUGUGGCUCUCUGCGAGUCCGGCGCUGCACUUCCUGCCGCUCCCUUGAUUGGGUACCAAUGAGAGGGGGUCUGGUCUGAUGAGGUACCUAAGGAUGGGAAUCAGACUAGUGAGGACAUUGCCUGAAUCAUGCCAAGGAACCACGGCUGUAAUUGCCACUGGAGGCAGUAGAGGUCGCUGUUUCUUGGUAAAUUACUAUGAAAUAGUUCGAUCUCUUUCGUGGCUGCCCACCAAUCCAGUAUGAAAUUGAAAUAACCAAAUAAACCUUCAGUUAUUAGGCCAUUUCUACAACUAUAUCUGUGAGCAAGGCCUUCUACACUUCUAUUAAUUGCAAAAUAACGGGCAACACACCCAGUUUCUCUACCCAUGAUAUGAUAGGAUAGGCUUGGUGAAGAUCAAAAGCCGCUUUCAAGACUGGCUGGACCACACUGUCCAUUUCCCCCAUGGGUGUGAUGACCAUGUCAAAGCCAAAACGGUGUCCGGGCUCUCCCUUACAGAAGCUCCGUCAUCUGGGAUGAGUUGUCGAGCCACUGCGCCUGCGCAUUGAGAGGCGCCAGAUGAGGCGGCUGGGGCAUCUGAUUCGAAUGCCUCCCGGACGCCUCCCUGGUGAGGUUUUCCGGGCAUGUCCCACCGGAAAGAGACCCCGAGGAUGACCCAGGACACGCUGGAGAGACCAUGUCUCUCGGCUGGCUUGGGAACACCUCGGCAUCCCUCCGGAACAGCUGGAAGAAGUGGCUGGGGAAAAGGGAAGUCUGGGAAUCCCUGCUGAAGCUACUUCCCCCGGGUAGAUGAUGGAUGAAUAACACAAAAAUAUGAGGGUGAGUUGAAAAUUUGAUGUGUGCACAAUUUAUGACCCACAGCCAUAAAAGGGGAUAUCUUAUAUAAAAAAAAUGUCUUUAUUACGUGUCGAUAAAUAGUUGGGUCUCCGGAGUUUCGUCCCAUCAAUUAAGUGUGGAAUAAAACAACCACUUAAUUAUUUUAUUACCUGCCUGUCCAUAAUCAACCCGUUCUGUACUUUCGUCCUCGUGUUAUUGUUACGGUGGGGUGAAAAUGAAGACUAAAACAUAAACCUGACACACGCAGUUAAGUUGUGUUUGAGGUAAAGCAAGCACAACAACAAAGAUGCUAGGUCGUUCUCAACUGCACCGCACCUCUGACACCGGAAGCUUGUGGGCUUCUGUUCUGUAGAUGCCAACUGGAAUAUCUCCCGUGGAGGAGCACAGCUUCUGGUAGAGCCUCCCUGCAACCGCUCGGCGUUCAAGUCGUCCUCUUACAGCGCAGAGGAAUCCUGAACCGGGCAUGGAGUCGAGGCCGAGUAGCAGCCUGGUGAUGGAGAUCAUGUAAUCCUUGACAAACGACUGUCCACAGUGAAGGAACGGAGUGUGUCAAGCAUGCUGACACUGAACACUUUGCCUGCCGCAAAGGGCAGACGGAACAUAAACACCAGGUUGGAUCCUCUCUCCCUUUCCUUCUGCAGCAGCGACUCACUUGGCUCUCAUCAGGUCCUGGUCUUUGAGAGCAGACCCCUGCAGGUAGAUGACUCUCUGGGCCCACAGAGGAACAUGAAGUACUCUUCUAACCUGGACAUCCAUUUCUGCCGGGCACAGGAUCACCACAGUGAAGAUUAACCCCCCCCCCCCCACCCGCCACCCCAUUGGGUGUUUUUCAUCUCACCUGUAUGGGAAGCACAAUGAGCGCCACGAAGAUCAUGAUGACCACCAGGAGCUGCGAGGGCCAGAUCUGCGGGGUGACGUCCCCGAAGCCCACCGUCGAGAAGGUGACGACGCAGAAGUAGAGCGAAUCGAACAAGGUCAGGUUGUUGCCGGCCCGCUCCAAGUGCUGGAUCCCGCAGAUGCUGUUUUCGACCGGGAGUGUUUGCUCGUAGGCGGGUGGAUGCAUUCCAGAGCUAAUGCGCGGAACCGUGCAUAUUUACGAGUACGAGAGCAGCUCACCGGGGAUGGAAACAAGUUGGUUUUCGAGCCUGUGCGGUUACCCACCAUGUAAACAUGAGACACACCAGCGUGCUGAUGAGGAUCACCACCUGGUUGAACAUGGCCGAGUGUGUCCGCUGGAUGGCCCUGUGGAGGUCGUUCUGCGGAGAAACGCAAAGAGAGAGAGACAGAGAGACGCCGGCUGAGGCGUGCGAAGGGAAACGGGGCCUGGAGCCAGCAGUUGAGGAAAACCGGGAUGAAGAGAUUUCGGAAGGAGGGCAGAAUCACCUGUGGAAACGAGAGGCAGAAACAACUUCACUCCUGCGUGUGUUUCUGCGAGCGGGUGCAUACGCGAUCGUCCCUGGUGAGCAGGCGGGGAAGCGGAAGCCUACUGUGACACCCAUAACUGCCGUGUACUGAAGCAGCAGUGAUCAUGAAGGGGACGGCGCUGAUCAUCUCCAGAAUGAAGGGGACACGUAGUACUUGCUCCCAGACGUUGCCCUGGAAACGCAAAGCGCACACAAGAGCGGGAGAGGUCGGUCCACCCAGAUGAUCAGCUUCCUUGGCGGUGGAAGGACGUGACGGGACAGGGAGGACAGGGUAUUGCAGCAACAUCUGCGAGGUCAACACACACACACUUCUCGAAAGUGUCUCGAACUCUCCCCUUUGUUGCCGUUCCCUGGAGAAAUGUUUCAAGUGAGGUGGUCACACAAACUGCCGAGCUCCGGUGUCAAAGCCCCGUGGAAUCAGGCAAUUGCAGCGGACUUUCGGGGCGAGAGGCGUGGUCUGUGGGAGGAAACCGGAGUGCCCGGAGAAAACCCACGCAGGCACGGGAAGGACAUGCUAACACCACAAAGGCGAGGCCGGGCCCGAUCCCGGGUCCUCAGAACGACAAAAAUCCAACACUGAAGACUUCCAAACGUUGGAACUUUCUUUCCGAAACAUCUGCACACUUGAUGGAAGACAAAGUAUCAGACAUCCGAUCCUUGAAUGCUGUUUUUCAAACCCGUCGCGCACCUGAUGGUUUUUGCUGUGAUUUUGCCCUCUGCUGGCCGCGUCGCAUUCAAUGUCCAGCGGAGGACCGAAACGCUCGCGCUGGGCAUCUUCGUGCCGGCAGCGAUGAAUGACACGCCUUCUUUUAACAUGUUCAUCCGUGCAGCGAGCAUGACAGGCGAGGCGAAAAACAUUUCUUCUUUCAAGUGGGUGGGCCUCGCCACGUUACCAUGGCAACACCACAAAAAUUCAAACGCAUCCCGCGAGAUUGUUUGUGUGUUUGUGUGAUUUUUUUUUUCUCUUUCUGAACCUCAUUUAAACCUCAUCCAGUGGCACAUUACCAUAAUGUCUACUCCGAGGACAAUUUGCCCAGACUGCAAGUUGUUGCCUCGCCACAUAAUAAGAGCUCCAUCCUGUUGAACUAAAGCUGGCCCCACGCACCCACAAAACAGGAUAUACGUGUAGCGCGUCUGUGGCGUCACUCCAACGCGACGUUGACGGAGGCCAGAGCGUCCACAGCCCAGCCGGGGUACGCGUCGCGGGACGGGAACAUUCGGCGCAUGAAGGCGCGGAUGAAGUCCGGGAAGCGGCCUUCCACGAUGCUCUGUCGCACGGAGCGCAUUAGGCUGAGCUGCAGACCCGGUUCAUUGUGAAAAAAUGGAUUGCACGGUUGCAAAGGACGAGAGCUUCGUGGGUUCCACAUGACAGGUUGGACACUGGCAUUCGGGGUCGAUGGGCUGAAAGUCUUUGGCAUACUGCUUGUGUUUCACCUGAAGGGAUCCCCAGGGCACCAACGCUGAGCCAAAUCUCUGAGGACCAACAAAAUUUAUUCCCUCAAAAGUCAAGUCACGUUGAAGGGAAGAGUCUUACCGCCGUCCGGGUGGGAAAGACGCAGUCGAACAUGUCGCAACCCAAAGCGACGCACACCACCAAGUCCACGGCGUAUCUGCGGCACAGAUUGCAGCGAUCGAGCCAGCGAAUGGACCGGCGCAUAGCCUCCUCUACGCGCGGCCCCGUCACCGUGCUGCUCACCACGUCGUCCAGCUGCAUCAUGACGUCGGACCCUGCGGGGAUCGCAAACAACACGGGAAAUACUAAGUGGUACGUGUUCCCGAGACAUAUCUGACAUCCCAGCGCGUCCAGUUGAUCGGCGGUGAUUCCCUUCAUGGUGCCCUGGGUGCCGACCGGCAUGAAAACCGGCGUGCUGACGGAGCCGUGCGGCAGCUCCAGGUCGCACA